This 73-nucleotide transfer RNA is filed under the name Trichonephila clavata. It matches the Rfam family "tRNA". From Rfam's summary of the family: Transfer RNA (tRNA) molecules are approximately 80 nucleotides in length. Their secondary structure includes four short double-helical elements and three loops (D, anti-codon, and T loops). The record is from Rfam by way of RNAcentral. Lineage: Eukaryota; Metazoa; Arthropoda; Arachnida; Araneae; Nephilidae.
AUGUCUGUACCGCAAUGGAUAGUGCGUUGGACUUUUAAUCCAAAAGUGGUGGAUUCGAAUCCCACCUGGGAUG